This 433-nucleotide ribosomal RNA is filed under the name uncultured bacterium. RNAcentral's name for it is "partial 16S ribosomal RNA". It matches the Rfam family "Bacterial small subunit ribosomal RNA", at positions 29 to 507 of the family's 1533-position model. The record is from RNAcentral.
AACGAACGCUGGCGGCGUGCCUAACACAUGCAAGUCGAACGAGACCUUCGGGUCUUGUUGCGCUCGGCUGCUUACCACCUGGUGACCUGCCCUUAGGUUCGCUAUCACUGCCCUAAGGGUAUCCUAAUACCGCUUAAUGUCUUCCGGCCAAAGAUUUAUCGCCUUUGGAUGGGCGCGCGUUAGAUUAGGUGGUUGGUAGGGUACAAGCCUCCCAAGGCGACGAUCCAUAGCUGGUGUGAGAGGAGGAUCAGCCACACUGGGACUGAGACACGGCCCAGACUCCUACGGGAGGCAGCAGUAGAGAAUAUUGGACAAGGAACGCAAGCCUGAUCAAGCAAUGCCGCGGGAGUGAUGAAGGCCGUAGGGUCGUAAAGCUCUUUUACCCGGGAUGAUAAUGACAGUAACGGGAGAAGAAGCACCGGCUAACUCCGUG